GACGAACGCUGGCGGCGUGCUUAACACAUGCAAGUCGAACGAAGUGGCGAACGGGUGAGUAACGCGUAAUCAACCUGCCCUUCAGAGGGGGACAACAGUUGGAAACGACUGCUAAUACCUCAUACUGAAGGAGGGGAUUGCGUCUGAUUAGCUAGUUGGCGGGGUAACGGCCAACCAAGGCGAUGAUCAGUAGCCGGGCUGAGGGGAUGAAAGGCCACAUGUGGACUGAGGCACGGCCCAGAUUCCUACGGGAGGCAGCAGGGGGGAAUCUUCCGGAAUGGACGAAAGUCUGACGGAGCAACGCCGCGGGAGUGAUGACGGCCUUCGGGUUGUAAAGCUCUGUUAAUCGGGACGCGGUACCGGAAUAGAAAGCCACGGCUAACUACGUGCCAGCAGCCGCGGUAAUUC
Molecule: ribosomal RNA, 408 nt
Filed under: uncultured bacterium
Lineage: Bacteria
Description: partial 16S ribosomal RNA
Rfam family: Bacterial small subunit ribosomal RNA
Source: RNAcentral